CAGCUGGCUACACAUUGAACAGUUCUUACAAAUUGCCGGAAACGCGGCAGCACACGGAUCCGAUAUGUUUCAGGACAGUCAUUAUUAAGAAGAAAUACCAUGUGUCAAUCUCCCAAAGACCUUCGAGGGCAUUAUCCUCCUAAAAUCCCUUAAUUACUGCUCUGGGGCUCACAUGUGUUCCUGGCCCGCAGCAUGCACGAGAGGGGAGUGCUGGCAGCAGUCACCCCGGUGUGAUGUUCAUUAACUUCCUCAGCCUCUGCUCUUUCCUCUUCUGAGCAGCAGAGGGAAGAAAGCUUGCUAGGAGGCUGCAAAGAGAGCAAGAAGGGUUCCAGGCUGACAGGAGCCAUGGUGGGACAGAGCAUUUUGAAGUACGAAAGCAUUUUGCCACAACUUUCAGCCAUUCUUUCAUCUAUCGAGGAAUGUGAGUGUUCUAAUUUCUGCAGGGGAUUACUAAUUCAUUACAGGCUUUUGGCAAAACCCAUGCAAGUUCUGCUCAUUACACAUUUUGAUGACUGUAUGUUUCUCUGCGUGUGCUUCUGUACAAUAGGUGAAGUAUGAUUUCAUACAGUGUGGCUAUUCAUUGAGGAAAAAGAGGGCUUUACCCUUACCUGUGACUUAUUGGGUUUACGGUUUAUUGUGAUUUGGUCUUUAAAUGGCCACACUGAGCAUCCUUUAAAGAGAGAGGGAUGUGUCCCUACCUAUAGCAGAGGAGUUGGAACUAGGUGAUCUGAAAGGUCCCUUCCAAC
Molecule: long non-coding RNA, 746 nt
Filed under: Numida meleagris (helmeted guineafowl)
Lineage: Eukaryota; Metazoa; Chordata; Aves; Galliformes; Numididae
Description: lncRNA (ENSNMEG00000012797.1)
Source: RNAcentral